RNAcentral lists this ribosomal RNA (497 nucleotides) under uncultured bacterium. RNAcentral describes it as "bacterial SSU rRNA". It matches the Rfam family "Bacterial small subunit ribosomal RNA", at positions 15 to 507 of the family's 1533-position model. The record is from RNAcentral.
GAUCCUGGCUCAGAUUGAACGCUGGCGGCAGGCCUAACACAUGCAAGUCGAGCGGUAGAGAGAAGCUUGCUUCUCUUGAGAGCGGCGGACGGGUGAGUAAUGCCUAGGAAUCUGCCUGGUAGUGGGGGAUAACGUUCGGAAACGGGCGCUAAUACCGCAUACGUCCUACGGGAGAAAGCAGGGGACCUUCGGGCCUUGCGCUAUCAGAUGAGCCUAGGUCGGAUUAGCUAGUUGGUGAGGUAAUGGCUCACCAAGGCGACGAUCCGUAACUGGUCUGAGAGGAUGAUCAGUCACACUGGAACUGAGACACGGUCCAGACUCCUACGGGAGGCAGCAGUGGGGAAUAUUGGACAAUGGGCGAAAGCCUGAUCCAGCCAUGCCGCGUGUGUGCAGAAGGUCUUCGGAUUGUAAAGCACUUUAAGUUGGGAGGAAGGGCAGUUACCUAAUACGUGAUUGUUUUGACGUUACCGACAGAAUAAGCACCGGCUAACUCUGUG